Molecule: ribosomal RNA, 915 nt
Filed under: uncultured bacterium
Lineage: Bacteria
Description: bacterial SSU rRNA
Rfam family: Bacterial small subunit ribosomal RNA
Source: RNAcentral
GNNAGUCGAACGGCAGCGCGGGGCAACCUGGCGGCGAGUGGCGAACGGGUGAGUAAUAUAUCGGAACGUGCCCUGGAGUGGGGGAUAACGCAGCGAAAGUUGCGCUAAUACCGCAUACGAUCUAAGGAUGAAAGCGGGGGAUUCGCAAGAACCUCGUGCUCCUGGAGCGGCCGAUAUCUGAUUAGCUAGUUGGUGGGGUAAAGGCCUACCAAGGCAUCGAUCAGUAGCUGGUCUGAGAGGACGACCAGCCACACUGGAACUGAGACACGGCCCAGACUCCUACGGGAGGCAGCAGUGGGGAAUUUUGGACAAUGGGCGAAAGCCUGAUCCAGCAAUGCCGCGUGAGUGAAGAAGGCCUUCGGGUUGUAAAGCUCUUUUGUCAGGGAAGAAACGGUGAAGGCUAAUAUCCUUUGCUAAUGACGGUACCUGAAGAAUAAGCACCGGCUAACUACGUGCCAGCAGCCGCGGUAAUACGUAGGGUGCAAGCGUUAAUCGGAAUUACUGGGCGUAAAGCGUGCGCAGGCGGUUUUGUAAGUCUGUCGUGAAAUCCCCGGGCUCAACCUGGGAAUUGCGAUGGAGACUGCAAGGCUAGAAUCUGGCAGAGGGGGGUAGAAUUCCACGUGUAGCAGUGAAAUGCGUAGAGAUGUGGAGGAACACCGAUGGCGAANGCAGCCCCCUGGGUCAAGAUUGACGCUCAUGCACGNNNGCGUGGGGAGCAAACAGGAUUAGAUACCCUGGUAGUCCACGCCCUAAACGAUGUCUACUAGUUGUCGGGUUUUAAUUAACUUGGUAACGCAGCUAACGCGUGAAGUANACCGCCUGGGGAGUACGGUCGCAAGAUUAAAACUCAAAGGAAUUGACGGGGACCCGCACAAGCGGNGGAUGAUGUGGAUUAAUUCGAUGCAACGCGAAAAA